GGGCGCGUGGCCUAGUGGACCAAGGCGAGCGGUUCCUAACCUCUAGAUCGCGGGUUCGAAUCCCGCCGCGUCCG
The sequence is a transfer RNA, 74 nucleotides long. It matches the Rfam family "tRNA". From Rfam's summary of the family: Transfer RNA (tRNA) molecules are approximately 80 nucleotides in length.